AGCGAACGCUGGCGGCAGGCCUAACACAUGCAAGUCGAACGAAGUCUUCGGACUUAGUGGCGGACGGGUGAGUAACACGUGGGAACGUGCCUUUAGGUUCGGAAUAACUCAGGGAAACUUGUGCUAAUACCGAAUGUGCCCUUCGGGGGAAAGAUUUAUCGCCUUUAGAGCGGCCCGCGUCUGAUUAGCUAGUUGGUGAGGUAAAGGCUCACCAAGGCGACGGUCAGUAGCUGGUCUGAGAGGAUGUUCAACCACAUUGGCACUGAGACACGGCCCAAACUCCUACGGGAGGCAGCAGUGGGGAAUCUUGCGCAAUGGGCGAAAGCCUGACGCAGCCAUGCCGCGUGAAUGAUGAAGGUCUUAGGAUUGUAAAAUUCUUUCACCGGGGACGAUAAUGACGGUACCCGGAGAAGAAGCCCCGGCUAACUUCGUGCCAGCAGCCGCGGUAA
RNAcentral lists this ribosomal RNA (449 nucleotides) under uncultured bacterium. RNAcentral's name for it is "partial 16S ribosomal RNA". It matches the Rfam family "Bacterial small subunit ribosomal RNA", at positions 29 to 523 of the family's 1533-position model. The record is from RNAcentral.